RNAcentral lists this ribosomal RNA (425 nucleotides) under uncultured bacterium. Its description in RNAcentral is "partial 16S ribosomal RNA". It matches the Rfam family "Bacterial small subunit ribosomal RNA", at positions 354 to 796 of the family's 1533-position model. The record is from RNAcentral.
GUGGGGAAUAUUGGACAAUGGGCGAAAGCCUGAUCCAGCCAUGCCGCGUGAGUGAUGAAGGCCUUAGGGUUGUAAAGCUCUUUCAGUAGGGAAGAUAAUGACGGUACCUACAGAAGAAGCCCCGGCUAACUUCGUGCCAGCAGCCGCGGUAAUACGAAGGGGGCUAGCGUUGUUCGGAUUUACUGGGCGUAAAGCGCACGUAGGCGGAUUGGUCAGUUAGAGGUGAAAUCCUGGAGCUCAACUCCAGAACUGCCUUUAAUACUGCCAGUCUAGAGUCCAGAAGAGGUGAGUGGAACUCCUAGUGUAGAGGUGGAAUUCGUAGAUAUUAGGAAGAAAACCAGUGGCGAAGGCGGCUCACUGGUCUGGUACUGACGCUGAGGUGCGAAAGCGUGGGGAGCAAACAGGAUUAGAAACCCCUGUAGUCC